This 126-nucleotide small RNA is filed under the name Marmota monax (woodchuck). Lineage: Eukaryota; Metazoa; Chordata; Mammalia; Rodentia; Sciuridae. The record is from RNAcentral.
GCCAGGCGUGGUGGCGCACACCUGUAAUCCCAGCGCCUCAGGAGGCUGAGGCAGGAGGAUCAAGAGUUCAAUUCCAGCCUCAGCAACAGUGGGAUGCUUAAGUAACUCAGUGAGACCCUGUCUCUA